AUUUUAUACUCUUUUGGGAGAAAUAACAAGCAUUCCUCUCCCCCGCUUCUUCUGAACUAUGACUUCCGUGUAAUACUUUUCUAUUAUUUCCCUAAUAAAGGAAUCUCUAACACACAUUCACAAUUUUGGCUGUUUGGGGACUUUCUAGAAAUGGAAUAAAACUUUAUGAAAUACUUGCUUUUUCAGUCAAUGUAAGUUUUUCAUUUAUGUUGCUGUAUGCAGCUGGAGUUCUCAUUAUUUUCAGGCUACGUAGUAUUUCAUUGUACAAAUAGUC
Long non-coding RNA from Phyllostomus discolor (pale spear-nosed bat), 274 nucleotides. RefSeq lists it as uncharacterized. NCBI's taxonomy places the organism in Eukaryota, Metazoa, Chordata, Mammalia, Chiroptera, Phyllostomidae. The transcript is spliced from 3 exons. The record is from RefSeq and is a predicted model, not a curated record.